GAUGAACGCUAGCGGCAGGCCUAACACAUGCAAGUCGAACGGUAACAGGAAGAGCUUGCUCUUUGCUGACGAGUGGCGCACGGGUGCGUAACGCGUAUGCAACUUACCCCUAACAGGAGGAUAGCCUUUAGAAAUGAAGAAUAAUACUCCAUAAUAUAUAUUGAUGGCAUCAUUAAUAUAUUAAAGCUCCGGCGGUUAGGGAUGGGCAUGCGUCCUAUUAGUUAGUUGGCGAGGUAACGGCUCACCAAGACAUCGAUAGGUAGGGGGUCUGAGAGGAUUAUCCCCCACACUGGUACUGAGACACGGACCAG
RNAcentral lists this ribosomal RNA (311 nucleotides) under uncultured bacterium. RNAcentral's name for it is "bacterial SSU rRNA". It matches the Rfam family "Bacterial small subunit ribosomal RNA", at positions 28 to 334 of the family's 1533-position model. The record is from RNAcentral.